AACGAACGCUGGCGGCAUGCCUAACACAUGCAAGUCGAACGAGACCUUCGGGUCUAGUGGCGCACGGGUGCGUAACGCGUGGGAACCUGCCCUUAGGUUCGGAAUAACUCCCCGAAAGGGGUGCUAAUACCGGAUAAUGUCUUCGGACCAAAGAUUUAUCGCCUUUGGAUGGGCCCGCGUUGGAUUAGCUAGUUGGUAGGGUAAAAGCCUACCAAGGCGACGAUCCAUAGCUGGUCUGAGAGGAUGAUCAGCCACACUGGGACUGAGACACGGCCCAGACCCCUACGGGGGGCAGCAGGGGGGAAAAUUGGAAAAGGGGCGAAAGCCGGUUCCAGCAAGGCCGGGGGGGUGAUGAAGGCCUUAGGGUUGUAAAGCUCUUUUACCCGGGAUGAUAAGGCCAGGACCGGGAAAAAAAGCCCCGGCUAACUCCGU
This 432-nucleotide ribosomal RNA is filed under the name uncultured bacterium. RNAcentral describes it as "partial 16S ribosomal RNA". It matches the Rfam family "Bacterial small subunit ribosomal RNA", at positions 29 to 506 of the family's 1533-position model. The record is from RNAcentral.